This is a long non-coding RNA of Alnus glutinosa, 709 nucleotides long. RefSeq lists it as uncharacterized. Lineage: Eukaryota; Viridiplantae; Streptophyta; Magnoliopsida; Fagales; Betulaceae. The record is from RefSeq and is a predicted model, not a curated record. The transcript has 4 exons.
UGUUUUCCGAGGAAAAGGCCAUUUGGCCUUUUCUAUUUCUUUCGGAGAGGCGGUGCCUCUCCUCCUUAUUUUUUUCUCUUAUGGAUUUUAUAGAAAAUCCUUGAUCUGCGAAGAUCCAACGGUCCGAUCUUCGAUCCGACUUCGGUAACGUGAUCUACGAAGCCCGAUCUACGUUUCUACCGAUCAUUUUGAGGUAAUGGAUUACUUGGAACUUGUUUGAGGCUACCCAAACCAUGAGUUUUGGUUUGGUGAAAUUUUGUAAUGCAUUGUAUGGUGGUGUCUAGGAGACCUAGUGCUUAAUAUCCGCGCAGCCAGACAUUGAUACUUUGGUUGCAGGUUUUGCGGAUAUAGAUAUUGACUCGUCCACCUAGCGUGUGAGAUACUAUGAUUGGAGCAUAUCGCGAUAGUCAUAAGUCACGGACUCAUGGGUAGUCCGCAUUUUGGGUAUUUUAUCCAUGGCUCGUGUCCUAUAUGGCACAUGUAUUUGUUGAGCCUAUAUUUUAGAAUGUAAUUAGUAUAAUAUGUUAUAUAAGCCUUAAAUAGAUAGAUGUGUAAAUGGCUCUUGAUGUAAUUAACAGUUGUGUAUUAGAUGUACUUCCGCUUAUGAUAUGUGUUUCGCUGCACAUUGAUUACUAUGUUCCGCUGUUAAAUGUAACUCUGAUUAUCAGGUACAUGUAUGGAACGUGUACGUUAUGUUGGCUGAGCGACA